UUGAAACCAAUUCAGGUUGCAUCCCACCUCUCACCUAGACUCAGCUGGUAUAGGCUCCAGACCACCCAUAACCCUUUUGGGGAUAAGCGGUACAGAACCUGAAUGUAUGACUAAAAUAUGACAGCAGAUUUUGGACCUCUUCUGUUGCGUAUUCAUGCUUGAGAAUAUGUAUACCUCUCCGAGUGUCAACCGUGAUAUUCAGUGCUGCUGAAUAUCUGCAUUGGUGUCCACAAGCCUGCCUUCACACAACACAUUUCGCUACAGUUCUCAUCGGUUCUGGAGGUUUGCAGGCUGCAAUCAAAAUGAUGCGAGGGAACAUAGUUUGCGAGCGACCUUAUGCUCCCUGUCUGCAUCAGCGUGUUUGACAAAAGGACGUCAGUUGUGCCAGCGACAACCCCGUCCAUGUCAGCAUUGUUGUGAACAAUACGAGUUUAUGCGCUGCAAUUAGGUUCAAAGCGGCAAUACCCACGAAUGUGACACGGUCUCGGUAUGUGGGAAAAGUAAGCAUUAUUUUCACUUUGAUGUCAACUUUAAUACAUUUCUUUAGAUAAUAUGCAUCCAUAGCAAUUAUAGCAUGCUGUAGAGUAGCCACUAGUUAAAAUCCAUUCAUCCAUUUUCUGGAGCACUUAUCCUCACUUUGGUCAUAGGCGUGAUGGAUCCUCUCCCAGCUGACUCUGGGUGAGAGACGGGUUACAUGCUGUAAACCCUGAACUGGUCGCCAGCAAAUCGCGUGAUGGAUAUUAACAAAUGAACCAUUCACACUCACAUUUACACCUACGGGUAGUUUAGAGACUUCAAUUAGCCCAACAUGCGUGUUUUAGUAUGUUGUAGGAAACCGGAGCACCUGAAGAAAACCUGGACAGGCACGAGGAGAACAUGCAAAGUACACACAGGCGACGCAAAACCAGAUUUGAACACUAGUCCUCAAAACGGUUGGGUCAUGGGGGAAGUAGCUUCGGGACGGAUACCCAGACUUCCCUUUCCCCAGCCACUUCUUCCAGCUCUUCCGGAGGGAUCCUGAUGCGUUCCCUAGCCAACCGAGAGACAGUCUAUCCAGCGUGUCCUGGGUCGUUCUCGGGGUCUCUUUCGGGUGGAACAUGCCCGGAACACCUCAUCAGGGAGGCGUCCGGGAGGCAUCCGAAUCAGAUGCCCCAGCCACCUCAUCUGUGUCCGCUCAAUGCGGAGGACCAACGGCUUAACACCGAGCCCCUCCCGGAUGACCGAGCUUCUCAACCUAUCUCUAAGGGCGAUGUGGAAACUCAUUUCGGCCCCUUGUAUCUGGAAUCUUGUCCUUUCAGUCACGACCCACAGCUCGUGCCCCUAGGUGAAGAUAGGAACAUAAUCGACUGGUAAAUUGAUAUCUCUGCCUUUCGACUUAGCUCCUUCUUUACCACAACGAGCCGAUACAAAGUCCGCAUCACUGCAGACGCUGCACCGAUCCGUCUGUCGAUCUCCCGCUCCAUUCUUCCAUCACUCGUGAACAAGACCCCAAGAUACUUGAACUCCUCCAACUUGAGACAGGAUCUCAUCCCCGACCUAGAGAGGGUACGCCACCCUUUUCCGACUGAGGACCAUCGUCUCAGAUUUGGAGGUUCUGAUUCUCAUCCUAUCCGCUUCACACUUGGCGUAGAGGGUGUCCGGUUUGGUGGCCUCAGCGUCGCGUCUCUGCUAUUUGCAGAGGAUGUGGUUCUGUUGGCUUCAUCAAGCCAUUAUCUCCAGCUCUUCCUGGAGCGAUUCGCACCCUGCCGGCAAAAUAUUAAACACAUACGAUGUAGUGACGUAUGUUCUGAGCCUUGAGGGUAUUUCCUAGACACUGCGGCCUUUAAAUUUGUUUCCAUUUGGACUUAAUUUUGAUUAAUGAAUUAAUUACAGAAAAAUUGUAAUUACAUUGCAAUAUCAAUGUCCUAAUUCCUGGCAUGCCAAUAACAUUGAUACAAAAGAUGCACCGAGUGACAUGAGCGCACAAGAACGUACAAUACAAAACAUUGCAGCAAGCACUUAGCACCAGAGCUGACAUUAGUGUCAAGAGUUCUAGCGCGGCCAAGGCUAAUUUGUCCUGAUGAUUUAAAGAAAAAGAUUUAUUGUGAGCGUAAUGGUUCCGUUAUGAAAUAAGAGUUUAGCAAACAGGUCUGGCCUUCAUUACGGUUUUGGGCAAUUAAAGGGAUUUAGGACAGUAAAGGGUUUCUUUUCUUUAUAUAUUUUUUUUACCUUUUUAGAUUAUAGAGGGAACAGUUUACUUUGGUCGAGGAUUUUUUUUAUGGUUUUAUAUCGCUGCGAAAACAAAAUCAAAUGUGUUUCCAAGAAAGUGUUUGGGUUUAUGAGUCAGUUCAAAGUUUGAAUAGCUAGCUCAAAUUUAUGAGUUACCGCCUUGUGAAUAUAUUUCGAUCAAUCCACUUCCUGUAUUUCACCGAUAAAAAGCACGCACCAAUCUAUUUGUGUGAGCAAUGUUCUACAGAUAAAUUCAUAUUUUUUUAAAUUUAUAUGUCUACAUAUGCAUCUAUUUGCCGUUUGUAUUGAAAAACAUUGCCGGUGGCGUCAACAUGUUUCUAUUCAAUCAAAAUGGAAAGAAGUGUGAUAAAUAAUUGCAAUGCCUCAUCGAGCCCAUCACUAUUUUCAAUAGCACCGAACUGUGUCAAGCAUAAAAGAUGUGUCAAGGCUGAAGGCCCGUCACAUCCAUAAUAAUAUUUACAGCCUAUGAACAGAUAAGAUCCGAAUAGCUAAAGAUGUAGAACUUUAAAAAAAAAACAUGUUUUUUAUCAUUUCUAUUUGCAGAGUGGAACCAGUUGACUAGUCUUUUGUAUUCUGGUGUGCAGCCACUGCGGGUUUGACAUCUGACCUAAUUUUCCUUCACUCUUUGACCCCCUUCAAUGACAGUGAUGCAGCAGAUAAAAAAAAAAAGUCUGUGUAUGUUGUUUUUUUAUUUUUUUUGUUCGCCCAGCAGUGAUCUUACUGUUCUAUCACUACUAUGACGCCAAUACUGCACCUAAGUAUUAAAGGAUUAUCGCGGUGUUUGA
Syngnathoides biaculeatus (alligator pipefish) is the source of this 3014-nucleotide long non-coding RNA. RefSeq lists it as uncharacterized. The transcript is spliced from 2 exons. NCBI's taxonomy places the organism in Eukaryota, Metazoa, Chordata, Actinopteri, Syngnathiformes, Syngnathidae. The record is from RefSeq and is a predicted model, not a curated record.